Molecule: long non-coding RNA, 432 nt
Filed under: Eutrema salsugineum
Lineage: Eukaryota; Viridiplantae; Streptophyta; Magnoliopsida; Brassicales; Brassicaceae
Description: long non-coding RNA (ESAL_LNC000282)
Source: RNAcentral
GCGUAAGUACCAGCAGCUAAAACAAUAGUGGCGUUGAUGCUCCGAUCAAUCAUCUUCUCCAUCUCUUCGCUCUCACUCCUCCUCUCGUCUCCCAAAUCAGCUGCCGAAGAAGAAGAAGAAAACCCUUCCAACGAAAGCCGACCUUCGCUCGUCGCACCGCCGAAUCCAACAACCACAGAUUCGUUCACAUCUUUCUCCGUCUCAGUGCUCAUCACCACCACCGAACCUUCCUCGUGGUCCGUACGAUCUCGGCUCUGAACAGGAAUCACAUCUAUUUCAUCAUGGAUCAACGCGCGCGAAACAAAGUCUCUCUGUUUGUUUCUCAGGAAAAUUUGGGAGCGGUGAGGUUUCAGGGACGGUUUCGAGAGAGAGAGGAAGCUACGUGGAGAGAUUGAAGUGUGGAGUGAAGAAGCAGCCAUGGCGGAGAGAAGA